Molecule: long non-coding RNA, 1210 nt
Organism: Felis catus (domestic cat)
Lineage: Eukaryota; Metazoa; Chordata; Mammalia; Carnivora; Felidae
Exons: 8
Source: RefSeq, a predicted model, not a curated record
AAGUCGGGGUAGAAAGAAGCAGAACCAGUCAGACAGUCUACAAUAGAAGAAUAUUCAGCUCUUGCACCACUUGGGGGAAGGUAACGACUUUGAACCUUUCACUUCCAUUUUCCGGAGGGAAUCUAGAAGGAACCUAGCAUGGGCGAGGCGUCACAUUGGGACGCCAUCUAAUGUACAUGCCUGUCCCUCUCCAGUCCUGGCAGGGCUCUAGGGGUCCAGGAUGGGCCAGUCUGCAGUAGAGGUGAGAGAGUGAUCACAGCGGGUAGAGGCCGGCAAGCCAGGUGGGCGCCCUGGACUCUAGGGCUCCUGCAGCAGGGAGGACCGCAGGGGGCGCUGCGCGUGGCAAGUGCAGGCACCUGCGAUAAGACCCCGCGUGCGGACGAGAUACUCCGCCCUGCGGCGAGAGGGAGGGCUGGUGAGCGUUGGCCUUCGGCCUUCGUCUCCCAACGCUCCGGGGCGAGGCUGGACUUUCCACAGUUAGCUGGACGAGGGGAGUCUUGAGAAAUGGCGUUUUGUUGUAAUCGGGUGUGUGCCACUCCCCGGCCCUGAACCGAAUGUGCAAGAAAGAUUGGAGGUUGUGAAAUCCAAAUCGGAAGACGCUGCCUCACUGCGGAUACUGUGCCGGCCUUAUCUGUCUGUCCUCCCAGCAUGGUUAAAGAAAAUUAAAAGUGGAUGUUCCAGCCCUUUCGGAUGAACUGCAACCCUGACAACUUCACUGCAACUGCGUGAGAGACCCUGUGCCACAGCUCCCCAGAGCUACCCGGCAAAGCGGCUUCCUGAUCCUUGGCCCUCAGAAACCCUGAGUUUAUGCUCAGAAAGACGUUCCUGUACUGAAAUCAGAGGUGGAGGGGAGCCAAAAGAACACUGAUGAAGCUUACAUUGUUCCAACUAUUCCGGCUCUAUCUUAAAUAUGGUGGCGGAACCUCAUUCAACCCUGUGGCCCCCAUGCACCACCACCCUGAAGCUUUCAAUCUGCAGACACUCUGGGAAGGGAAUAUCUGUUGGAUGAAUGUGCACCUCCUAUUCUAAUGGUUUGCUCUGUCCUGGUGUGGCUGGAGACAUAACGAGACCCACAAAUCAGCUCUUGGACAGCAGACCUCCUUCAGGGCAGGAAGCUCCAAGGGAGAGGAGUGAGUGACCUGAGAGCUGAAACACACAGUGCUUAUUUUUGAGAGAGAGAAAGAGAGCAGGAGAGAGUGGAGGGGCAGAG